CAGUUUCAGUCUUGUUGCCCAGGCUGGAGUACAAUGGCAUGAUCUCGGCUCACCACAACCUCCACCUCCCAGGUUCAAGUGGUUGUCCUGCCUCAGCCUCCCUAGUAGCUGGUAUUACAGGCAUGUGUCACCACACCCGGCUAAUUUUUGUAUUUUUAGUAGAGACAGGGUUUCUCCAGGUUGGUCAGGCUGGUCUCGAACUCCCGACCUCUGGUGAUCUGCCCACCUCGGCCUCCCAAAGUGCUGGGAUUACAGGUGUGAGCCAC
This 266-nucleotide long non-coding RNA is filed under the name Homo sapiens (human). RNAcentral describes it as "long non-coding RNA NONHSAT118373.2". Lineage: Eukaryota; Metazoa; Chordata; Mammalia; Primates; Hominidae. The record is from RNAcentral.